Molecule: ribosomal RNA, 627 nt
Filed under: Scolopendra polymorpha
Lineage: Eukaryota; Metazoa; Arthropoda; Chilopoda; Scolopendromorpha; Scolopendridae
Description: eukaryotic LSU rRNA
Source: RNAcentral
GGGAAAGUUGCAAAGAACUUUGAAGAGAGAGUUCAAGAGUACGUGAAACCGCUCGGAGGCAAACGGGUGGGCCCUCGAAGGUCGAACGGGGGGAUUCAUCCCGUCCGCUGGCAUGGUUGCACGUCACGGAUGGCGAGGCGUUGGGGGUUUUCUCCCUCGCGUCUGGCCUGACGGAUCCGAACGUCGGACCGGUCCGUGACACCAAAGUUAUAUCUUUGUUGCGACCGCGGGCGGGCGCACUUCCCCCUCAGUAGGACGCCGCGACCGGUUGGGUAUCGCUAGGAAAAGCGGCUUUGCAGCGGGACGCCGGCAGGUAUCCGUUGCCCGGUCACCUUUCUCACGUCGUUACUGGCGAGGGAAAUGCCGGUCGGAAUUACAGCUGGUCUCUGCUUCGGCUGCUGCCCGACCGAGGAACUGCGUGCCCGCGCUGUCAUGCGACUUCGGUUGCGCGAGACGCGCGGUUCGCCCGCCUGGCAGGCUGGGCCACCGGGUGCCGGACGCCCCUAGUUUGGCGGUCGGUUUUCUCGUCGUGGCCCGCUGUUGGUUGGGUGUAGCUGCUCUCGUGGUGGCGCUCGUGGUCAGCGGCGAGUAGGUCGGUCGCCCACCCGACCCGUCUUGAAACACGGA